UAUCACUUAGCGGCGGACGGGUGAGUAAUGCUUAGGAAUCUGCCUAUUAGUGGGGGACAACAUUCCGAAAGGAAUGCUAAUACCGCAUACGUCCUACGGGAGAAAGCAGGGGACCUUCGGGCCUUGCGCUAAUAGAUGAGCCUAAGUCGGAUUAGCUAGUUGGUGGGGUAAAGGCCUACCAAGGCGACGAUCUGUAGCGGGUCUGAGAGGAUGAUCCGCCACACUGGGACUGAGACACGGCCCAGACUCCUACGGGAGGCAGCAGUGGGGAAUAUUGGACAAUGGGGGGAACCCUGAUCCAGCCAUGCCGCGUGUGUGAAGAAGGUCUUCGGAUUGUAAAGCACUUUAAGUUGGGAGGAAGGGCAUUAACCUAAUACGUUAGUGUUUUGACGUUACCGACAGAAUAAGCACCGGCUAACUCUGUGCCAGCAGCCGCGGUAAUACAGAGGGUGCAAGCGUUAAUCGGAAUUACUGGGCGUAAAGCGCGCGUAGGUGGUUUGUUAAGUUGGAUGUGAAAUCCCCGGGCUCAACCUGGGA
RNAcentral lists this ribosomal RNA (537 nucleotides) under uncultured Pseudomonadales bacterium. RNAcentral's name for it is "bacterial SSU rRNA". It matches the Rfam family "Bacterial small subunit ribosomal RNA", at positions 86 to 619 of the family's 1533-position model. The record is from RNAcentral. Lineage: Bacteria; Pseudomonadati; Pseudomonadota; Gammaproteobacteria; Pseudomonadales.